UAUCCCUUAUUUUAUGAAGUAAUGGCUUUAAUUAGUCAUUCUAAGUGCACUGUGACUAUUUAGUUGAGGAUUUCCUCCCAAGAGUAAAAUACUAUUUUAAGACCAUUUAUACUUUCACAAAAUUGGCUAUAUGAGCAACUGGGUGGGAAACACAGUCCUAAGAUGCCUACAACUACGGCCAGGUAAAUUGAAGACAAGAAGCAUGGAAAAAGCAGCGUGUGAUCAUUAAGUGGCAAAAAUGGUUUACAGCACUGGUUCAUUGCUGGUUGAGGUAGGGCUGCAUUUUCACAGUGCUUAAGACAGGUGAGGAUCACCAGCCUACAAAUUUCUAAGGCUUUGUUACUUGCUUCUUAACCACUUUCCGUAUUUUCUGCCUCUCCCAAAGUGAACCUCAAGACAACAACAACAACAAAAAAAUAACACAUCUAAAGAAAUAGAAUAUAGUGCCCUGAAGAAUCGGUUGUAAGAACUUGUUUUUCCUGCCUGAGGGUAUGCUAGUAUAACUUUAACUGGGAAAUAUGGAGUGAGAAAUGGUAAACAAAAUUAGUAGUGCAGUAAAUGUAUAACAUAAAUCCUAGCUUCUAACUGCCUAAUAAGUUGGCGCUAAUAACAGCCAGAAACCUAGUUGUCUAUAAUAAAUGCCUAAUGCGUAUUUCACUAAUAAGUAUUAGUUUUUAAGUUUUGAGGGCCUAAUUUCUGUUUCUGACGCUCCAAACUCACCUGUCAAAUUUUUAAAUCGAUGACAUCACCUCUAUUUCCUUGUAAAUAAGUGUCCUUUAUUCCCUGCACCUGUGCACAUUAUGCCCUAAACUUCAGAAAGAACGAUCAUCUUGGUGAGUAAGAAGAGAAUAGCCAUUCCUUUUGGCACUUUUAUCAGAGAGAAAGCAAAGAAAACAGUUCCUUUGUUACAUGUGUACAUUCUUCAGCCCAGAUAAAAUUUUGAUGCACUGCUUAUAAGAGUUGGUAUCUACACAUUAUAUGCACAACUAUGGAAAUGGAAAAAAAGAAGGAAUCCAUCAUGGUGAGCAGGGAUUAAAUAUAGAUACUGCAUCUCCCUUUCACUUCACAUUGGUCUGAGAGUGCCUUACCUCCCUUCAGGUCUUUCCUCUGAAGAAUCAUCUUGUUCGUAGCCUGCACUAUAGCAAGUAGGAAUUUUAUAAAAUAAGGUCUAAACUCAGGAGAAAUGAAAAGGCAGCUCCAUUAGCUCAGUAUGAAAAGAAGAGUGAAGAACAUAUAGCAUGAACAUCAUCUCUGAGGUACAGCACAAUUUAACAAUUGGUGCUAAGGAAGAAAAUGAUGUGUUCUUUUGUUUUGCAGAAAAUCACACACAAAAGCAAAUAUGGUUGGAGGCUAAGAGGACUCCAGGAGGCCGCACAGACUGCUCUAUUCCCAUGAAGCUUUUCUUUCUGGACUUUGAUGAGUCAUAAUAUGCUCUCUGAAUUUGCUCUUCUCUUUGUAGUUUGGUAUCAAGGGGUGAAGGUGGCUUUUUCACGGCUUGAUGGCCACAUUUGCUUGUUCUGCAAGUUUGCUUUGGCUGACAUUCUAUAUAGAGGAGGCAUUGUGUGUGAAGAGUGCUAUCUAGCUAUAAUACCCUCACGAAGAAAAAUCGUAUGCAUAAAGUUAGGAAGCAGCAAGUCCCCAACAGACAACUGUUCGUGCAUUCUGGGAAACCUGGUCUACCUGCUAGUUUCUAGUGUGUUAUAUUGGCCAUAUUUCCUUCUGACAGAAACACCUCCAAGACUCACCUACUACCUAGUGGUCCUCCCUGCCUUCUCCAGGCAGAGGUCUCUGCAUCGCCUACUCUGCUCCCAUAGCAACCAAUGUGGACCUCCAUUAGAGCACUUACCACUUUGAUGUGAUUAUUUGUUAGCAUCUUCUACUAGAUGGUUAGUGCCUGGAGGGUGUAGAACAAGUUCAAUUUAUCUUUGAAACCUCAGCAGUUAGCUGGAUGCUUAGCACAUUGUGUAUUGUUCAAAAACAGAAAAAAAAAAAAAGAGACAGACUUUAUUUAAUGAAAAGAUGAGAGAUAGAUAAUAAAAUGACUUGACAGAGAAUUUAGCAGGUCUUCAUUAUUAAGAAUUAUGAUGUGAACGAACAAGAUUACUUAAAUGUUCAGUUUAAAGGACUUAGGAAAUGUUUUUAUUUUUUUAUUGGGUGGGGAGAAGGAGCCAGAGCUCUCGUAGUCAUAUAAAGAACACUGAGAAAAGGUUUUGCUUACUUUUCAAUUAGUCUGGGAGUAGCAUGACAGCAUACGUGGCAUUUGUAUAACAGAAUAGUUAGAAUUAUAAUCGCAGCUCUUUUUUAUUUCGACAUUAAAUCACAGGCCAGAAGUUGUGCAACAACCCUUUGAUACGACGUUUCAAGGAAACAGAGGCAGUAUGUAAUUCACAGGAGGGGAGUGAACAAAACAAUUUACUGUGAUGUGGGGAGAACAUUAGAAAUUCUAUCUCUUUUCUUCUUUAAUGAUGAAAAUGUAAUGAUGCAAUGACAAAAACAUAUGAGCUUUAUAUAAGUUUAUGGUAAUCAUUGACCCUAGAGUAUCUGCCACAGCUCAUACCUGAACAAUACUGAGAGAAGUGGACUUCCAAGGGCAGAAAGGGGACCCUCUGUUCUCUCAGUGGUGCAAGGAGAAUACGAAAAAAACUUGAAUAUGACUAAAUGAAGUCAGAAUUUUUAAUUCAGCUUGGUAGAAGUACAGAUUAAGAGUGGUGAUGAUUACCUUCAUCUUGGCACUCAAGACUGGACAGGAUGGGGAAGAGUGGGUAUGGAGCAGAACGGAGGCUAGUUAGGAAACUAUUGUAUCAUCAAGGGAAUAAAGGUGCUUGAAAGAUAACGACACAGAGAGAGAAGAAUUGGAGGAGAAAUACAGAACGGGAGUGGGAUUAUGAAAGAAAAGAAGACUAACCCAGACAGACCUCUACCAUGCACAGGGUGAAUUUGGAUCUGAUCUUGGUAGACAUGGGAAACUGCCAGGUAACUUAAGAAGAGAAAUAUGGCUACCUGAUUCAGGAUUUACAAAAAUCAUUCCAGGAGUGGCAGAGAAUGGAUUUAGGGAGAAUAAAGGGAGGAUACUCUUGAACACAAACAAGGAAACUGACUAAUGUUUUGCUGUCACUGUUCAACAUGGGAGCUAAUAAGGAUCCGGGCCACGUUGUGCCAUGAAGAUUGGGGAAUGGGACGCAUUUGAGGGCAUUUCCAAGAAAGGAUCAAGAAGAAUCUCAACUGUCAUGAUUUGUGGAUCCCAUCAUGCAUGUACAACAUCACUAUCUUUUUCCCUACUGCCUGGUGAGUCCUUGCUAGUUUAAUGGCUAUGGCACUAAACAAAUGAAAAGAUACCAUUGGAACAGAGCACUGACAUUUUGCUUUCCGAAAUGCCCUCCCAUUUUCAUAUGAUGUCACUU
Molecule: long non-coding RNA, 3401 nt
Organism: Fukomys damarensis (Damara mole-rat)
Lineage: Eukaryota; Metazoa; Chordata; Mammalia; Rodentia; Bathyergidae
Exons: 3
Source: RefSeq, a predicted model, not a curated record